This 193-nucleotide long non-coding RNA is filed under the name Capra hircus (goat). RNAcentral's name for it is "lncRNA (ENSCHIG00000000899.1)". The record is from RNAcentral. Lineage: Eukaryota; Metazoa; Chordata; Mammalia; Artiodactyla; Bovidae.
UAGCUGUUCAAGUUGUCAGGAUUCAUUUCAACCCCACUGAAAUGUCAUCAACUUUUCAUUUUCCAACAAUGGAGGACAGAGCAACCUUGCGGUAGAAUAUUUGCUGCAUGUCCACAUCAGAAUGGCAUAUUUCUGAAUUCCAAGUUCCAAGAAGAAAACCUACUUUCAGAUUCUCUUCCUCAGUAAAGGUAGC